RNAcentral lists this ribosomal RNA (492 nucleotides) under uncultured bacterium. RNAcentral describes it as "partial 16S ribosomal RNA". It matches the Rfam family "Bacterial small subunit ribosomal RNA", at positions 29 to 507 of the family's 1533-position model. The record is from RNAcentral.
AGUGAACGCUGGCGGCAGGCCUAACACAUGCAAGUCGAACGGCAGCACAGUACGAGUUUGCUCUUCCCGGUCGCGUGUCGGGCGCGGGUGAGAUAUCCAUCGGACUCUACUAUUUCGGGGGGGAUCACGUAGGGACGCUAACUAUUAUCCCGUAUACUACCAACAGCAAAAAGCAGGGGCUCUGGGCCUCUUGCCCGCUUAUAUGCGCAGAUGUGGGAUUAGCUAGUUGGUGGGGUAAAGGCCCACCAAGGCGACGAUCCGUAGCUGGUCUGAGAGGAUGAUCAGCCACACUGGAACUGAGACACGGUCCAGACUCCUACGGGAGGCAGCAGUGGGGAAUAUUGGACAAUGGGCGCAAGCCUGAUCCAGCCAUGCCGCGUGUGUGAAGAAGGCCUUCGGGUUGUAAAGCACUUUCGUCGGGGAGGAAGAGAGGAAAGUUAAUACCCCUCCGUAUUGACGUUACCCGAAGAAGAAGCACCGGCUAACUCCGUG